GAUCCUACGGGGGGCAGCAGUGAGGAAUAUUGGUCAAUGGCCGAGAGGCUGAACCAGCCAAGUCGCGUGAGGGAAGACGGCCCUACGGGUUGUAAACCUCUUUUGUCGGGGAGCAAAGCGAACCACGUGUGGUUCAUUGAGAGUACCCGAAGAAAAAGCAUCGGCUAACUCCGUGCCAGCAGCCGCGGUAAUACGGAGGGGGCAAGCGUUAUCCGGAUUUACUGGGUGUAAAGGGAGCGUAGACGGCUGAGCAAGUCAGAAGUGAAAGCCCGGGGCUCAACCCCGGGACUGCUUUUGAAACUGCG
This 305-nucleotide ribosomal RNA is filed under the name uncultured bacterium. Its description in RNAcentral is "bacterial SSU rRNA". It matches the Rfam family "Bacterial small subunit ribosomal RNA", at positions 335 to 637 of the family's 1533-position model. The record is from RNAcentral.